RNAcentral lists this long non-coding RNA (760 nucleotides) under Sorghum bicolor (sorghum). RNAcentral describes it as "long non-coding RNA (SBIC_LNC005810)". The record is from RNAcentral. Lineage: Eukaryota; Viridiplantae; Streptophyta; Magnoliopsida; Poales; Poaceae.
AACUGCACCCAUCAUCAUCAGAAAUAAACAAUUUGUCAGAUAUGAUGAUCACGUAAGCACUAGCGCAAACUGAUAAUUGAAUGAGAGCUAAAAGAAUCACAAAGCGUCAUUUCGAUGUCUAAUCCCAGACCCCACAAGAACUCUAUUCAUUCAUAUUCAUAUAUCCAGUUGUUCUGCGUCUUUGCUGCCGUCGCCGUCGCAGGGCGCGACGGGCGAAAAUGAUUGGUUCGCCAUGGGCAUCGAAUGCUUCCCCACCGAGGACAGCGACCCAUUCGAAUCAUUUGGGCAAGUUGCGCCGGUGCAGCCCCCCUAGUAGCAUGGCCCAUUCCAAAAAAGAAAAAAGAAAAAUCAGCGGCCCAAAACCGUGGGCCACGCUUAUCCCCGCAUUCAUUUCGAAAGCAACACAUUAUCGUCGACUUCUUCGUUUUCUUUUGUGUUGUUUGACGCGAUGAUGACACGAAUUUACGUUACGUUCGUCGUCGUAGAACACGGACGGACGGACGGACGGCGAGGUGCUUCUAAUUUCAAGCUUACCCUGAGGCUGUUCUUCUUGCGGGCGGAGCGGUCGACGUCGGCGAGGCGGUACUCGUGCAUGAUCCAGUUGGUCUUCUCGCCCUUGGGCGCCUUGCCGGCGUAGAAGACGAGCGCCUUCUUGAUGGCGAGCGGCUUGGGCGUGCCCACGGGCUUGUCGGCGCCGGUGGCCUUCCAGUAGCCGGACCCGGCGGCGCGGUUCGGCCUCGACCCGUUCGGGUACUUGCGG